Molecule: transfer RNA, 77 nt
Filed under: Eubacterium sp. AM18-10LB-B
Lineage: Bacteria; Bacillati; Bacillota; Clostridia; Eubacteriales; Eubacteriaceae
Also listed under: 1 other name
Description: tRNA-Arg
Rfam family: tRNA
About the family: Transfer RNA (tRNA) molecules are approximately 80 nucleotides in length. Their secondary structure includes four short double-helical elements and three loops (D, anti-codon, and T loops).
Source: RNAcentral
GUGCCCAUAGCUCAAUUGGAUAGAGUAUCAGAUUCCGAUUCUGACGGUUGCAGGUUUGAUCCCUGACGGGUGCGACA